RNAcentral lists this long non-coding RNA (597 nucleotides) under Dasypus novemcinctus (nine-banded armadillo). RNAcentral describes it as "lncRNA (ENSDNOG00000051713.1)". Lineage: Eukaryota; Metazoa; Chordata; Mammalia; Cingulata; Dasypodidae. The record is from RNAcentral.
AAAUAAUAAUCAUGUUUUAAAGUGGGUCCUGGAACAUCUAUUUGAUCUCUGAAAUGAUUAGUACUCAAGCCAGAGUCUAACAUCAUUUAAAACUUAAAAUUCUAAGGGGAAAUAUCUUCUAUAGAAUAUAAUAAAUCUGGAACCCGAGAGGUCCAGAGUUACCAUGCACUCCUCUUUCCUACCUAACUCCCCCUUUUCCUCCAGAACUUUCAAAUGCUGUGAGGUUUGGCAGGCUCUGGAAUACAGGCAUUUUCCUUCCUCAGUGCUCAAGCAUUAGCCGUCUGCCCUGGGAGGGGAAGAGAACACUUGCCGUGCGCUGUGUGCCGUCCAUGAGCGGAGGGGCUGAACCAGUUCAUCUCCACUUAGUCCUCUCCCCCUCGGAAAACACAGCACACAAGUUAGAAAGUUGGUUGAAGGCUGGUUUCUGCUCUGUGCCAUACCACCCUCUGGAGGCGAUCAGAGUCUGAGGGAUGUGUGAUGUCGAUGUUUUCCUGGAGUCCUUGGAUCUGGCAGAAUGUCUCGUGGCAGGACAUAAAAUUAAGGAAAUUCUACCCUCGGUAGUUCAAAACACUAAUUUCAUGAAAAGGGAAGCAUGAA